This 827-nucleotide ribosomal RNA is filed under the name uncultured bacterium. RNAcentral describes it as "bacterial SSU rRNA". It matches the Rfam family "Bacterial small subunit ribosomal RNA", at positions 100 to 928 of the family's 1533-position model. The record is from RNAcentral.
GACGGGUGAGUAACGCGUGGGUGACCUGCCCAUAAGUGGGGAAUAACAGUUGGAGACGACUGCUAAUACCGCAUAAGCUGAGCAAUCAGUAAAGGAGGCUUAACAGCUUCCGCUUAUGGAUGGGCCCGCGUCUGAUUAGCUAGUUGGUGGGAUAAAAGCCUACCAAGGCGACGAUCAGUAGCCGGCCUGAGAGGGUGGACGGCCACACUGGGACUGAGACACGGCCCAGACUCCUACGGGAGGCAGCAGUGGGGAAUAUUGCGCAAUGGGGGAAACCCUGACGCAGCGACGCCGCGUGAGCGAAGAAGGCCUUAGGGUCGUAAAGCUCUGUUUUAAGGGACGAAAAUUCGCAGGAGUAACUGCCUGUGAAGUGACGGUACCUUAAGAGAAAGCCCCGGCUAACUACGUGCCAGCAGCCGCGGUAAGACGUAGGGGGCGAGCGUUGUCCGGAAUUACUGGGCGUAAAGAGCACGUAGGCGGGAUAACAAGUCAGGUGUGAAAGACCGUGGCUCAACCACGGGGUUGCAUUUGAAACUGUAAUUCUUGAGGGCAGGAGAGGAAAGUGGAAUUCCUGGUGUAGCGGUGAAAUGCGUAGAAAUCAGGAGGAACACCGGUGGCGAAGGCGACUUUCUGGACUGACCCUGACGCUGAGGUGCGAAAGCGUGGGUAGCAAACAGGAUUAGAUACCCUGGUAGUCCACGCUGUAAACGAUGGAUACUAGGUGUGGGAGGUAUCGACCCCUUCCGUGCCGCAGCAAACGCAAUAAGUAUCCCGCCUGGGGAGUACGGUCGCAAGGCUGAACUCAAGGAUUGACGGGGCCCGCACAA